CUACCUUGUUACGACUUCACCCCAAAUCAUGAUCCUACACCGGUAAUCAGCAUACUACGGUUAGGCUAACUACUUCAUGGUAAAACCACUCAUAAUUAGCGUGGGCGUUGUGUCUGCCGUUCCAGAGGAACAUCCAUUCACCGCGACAUGCUGAUCCGCGAUUCUGCGCCAAUUCCGACUUCACGCAGUCAGUUGCAGACUGCGAUCAGACUGAUCAUCGGGUUUCUGGUUGUCCCCCUCGCGGUUGGCGACCCUCCCAUCCACGACCAUUGUAUGACGUGUGAAGCCCUACCCAUAAGGGCCAUGAGGACUUGACGUCAUCCCUUCCUCCGGUUGUCUGCAAUAGUCGAUAGAAUUGCCUUUUCAUUGUAACUAAUGACAAGGGUUGCGCUCGUUGCGGACUAGCAACAUCUCGGCGAGCUGACGACAGCCAUGCGCUUCUGAUUCCAGUUCUAUUUGCGAGCACUCCCCAGCAAAAUCUUACCUUCGGGAUUCCAGACAUGUCAGGAGUAGGUAACGGGUUUUUCGCGUUGCAUCGAAUUAAUCCACAUCUCAUCCACCGCUUGUGCGGGGUCCAAAUCAAUUCUUUGAGUUUUAAUCUUGCGACCGUAUACCAGGCGUUAGCUUCACGCAUUAGCUGCGCCUUAAGGCGAAGCCCAACAGCUAAUUGUUAUCGUUUAGGGCGUGGACCCCACCAGGGUAUCUAAUCCUGUUUGCUCCCACGCUGCUGGUACGCGAGCGUCAGUCGUUUAUCCAGGAGGCUGCCUUCGCCAUCGGUGUUCCUCCGCAUAUCUACGCAUUUCACUGCUACACGCGGAAUUCCACCUCCCUCUGAGCACACUCUAGCUCGGUAGUUAAAAAUGCAGUUCAAAGAUUAAAAACCCUGAGUUUCACAUCUUUCUUGAACCGCCUUACUUACGCUGCCAGUAAUUCCGAUUAGCAGCACGCCUACAUGUCACACGCGGCUGCUGGCACGUAGUUGGCGUGAUAACUUACUCUGCAGGUACCGUCAGUUGCACGGGGUAUUAUCUCGUGCCGUUUCUUUCCUGCCAAAAAAGUUAACACAACCCCGAAGGCCUUCAUGCGCCACGCGGGAUAGCUCGGAUCAAGUUCCCCGUAUCCCAAAUUCCCCCACUGCUUACUCUGGCCGGAGUCUGGGCCGUGUCUCGGUCCCAGUGUGUGGUCGUCCUCAAGCCAGCUGCGGAUCGUCGCCUUGACGAGCCGUACCCCACCAACUAGCUGUCGAUAUCGGCCGCUCUAAUAGUGCGAGGCCGGGGUCCCACUUUCCCCCCGAAGGGCGUGUACAUUAUUAGCUACGCUUUCAGCAUGAUUAUCCCCCGCUACUAGGCACGUUCCGGUACAUUACUCACCGUUCGCGCCCUCGCUGCGAGACCGAAGUCCGUGCCGUUCGGCCACAUGCCUUAAAGCAUCCCGCCAGCUGAUUCAAUCUGAGCCAUGAUCAAACC
This 1466-nucleotide ribosomal RNA is filed under the name uncultured Bordetella sp. RNAcentral's name for it is "partial 16S-23S ribosomal RNA intergenic spacer". The record is from RNAcentral. Lineage: Bacteria; Pseudomonadati; Pseudomonadota; Betaproteobacteria; Burkholderiales; Alcaligenaceae.